GUUUAUCUGCCGCCGGGUAGGUAAACAUCGCAUUUAUCUGCGUGUCGUAAGGCCUUAGAAGACGCGCUUGGUAAGUGCGUUUUUUAU
Molecule: non-coding RNA, 87 nt
Filed under: unclassified sequences
Source: RNAcentral